This 206-nucleotide ribosomal RNA is filed under the name uncultured bacterium. RNAcentral's name for it is "partial 16S ribosomal RNA". It matches the Rfam family "Bacterial small subunit ribosomal RNA", at positions 568 to 773 of the family's 1533-position model. The record is from RNAcentral.
CGCGUAGGUGGUUUGUUAAGUUGGAUGUGAAGGCCCCGGGCUCAACCUGGGAACUGCAUCCAAAACUGGCAAGCUAGAGUACGGUAGAGGGUGGUGGAAUUUCCUGUGUAGCGGUGAAAUGCGUAGAUAUAGGAAGGAACACCAGUGGCGAAGGCGACCACCUGGACUGAUACUGACACUGAGGUGCGAAAGCGUGGGGAGCAACA